UAUUGUUGGCAGGGACCUAGAGCAAUCGAUGCUAGAUUAAUGUUCAACCCAAUAUUUUCGACGGUAGUCACUUCUUUUGGAUAUUUCUUUAAAUGUUCUUUGCCUACUCCGUCUUUUAAUCCUUAUCUUUAACGAAUAAGAACGGAUUUUAUGGUAGAAUCUGGAUAAAUUCAUGUGGUGGUUGGUGUUACAUUUGGUAUUGGUGGAGGGUCUCUAAAGAUUACAUCAGGAAUUUUACAUUUCAAGCUGACAAAGCGAGUAAAUUUGACUAAUGAGUUGUAAAAUGAUUCAUCAUUCGACGUAUGAAAUAUUAAGUAGGAAAAAAAAAUAAAAUUCGAGAAGGAGUUUAUUACUUGGAAACUUUUUCAACAGUUUUCAAACUACUUCUACGUACGAUUUCUACUUUUAACUCGGCCAUCUAUUGAAUAACAAUGUCGGAAAGAAUCAAUUUGCAAACCAAAAAAGCCUUUUUUUUUUUUUUAUUUUCUCGA
Centruroides sculpturatus (bark scorpion) is the source of this 491-nucleotide long non-coding RNA. RefSeq lists it as uncharacterized. The transcript has 3 exons. Lineage: Eukaryota; Metazoa; Arthropoda; Arachnida; Scorpiones; Buthidae. The record is from RefSeq and is a predicted model, not a curated record.